AUGUUGCUAAAUAUCUAUGUAACAUAACACACUAAUUUUAUUGGUACAGGUUGGAACUAUGAAAGGAUGAACAAAUUACAGCAUUCAACAUAUGUUUAAAAAUAAGAGUGGAACAAUGUUGCACCUUUUGGGUGCUGAUCAAAUAGAAGCUAAGGCAUUCGUAGACAAGUGUUAUUUGUUCUUUCAAACAAACAAGAUUAAAUGAGAAAACCAAACAAUGAAGAGAAUCCAGCGCAGAGCCAGGUGGGUACCUGUGACUAUUCCAUGGAGGGCCUACUGGAAAGACAGCUCUAACUCCCAGUCUUGGAUACACUUUGGGCCUCUUGAUAGGUAAGAAAGAGCAUUUUCCGUGGGUGUGUUCUCUAAAGACAAGAGCCAUCUUCUGUUUGCCAACAAAAGAACCUUGUUCAAUGUAGAUCCCAGCUGUACCAUUGCCUCUGAGGCACAUGGAUAUCAUAAAGAAUGUAUCAUAAGAGCGCAUGUUUUCACUUGUUAGGCUAGAAAGCCAUUCUCAGGUAAUGAGAUCAGUGGUACUCCAGGGUCCGUAACUAUUCUCUAGUUGAUUCUUCCAUCAGUUGAUG
Molecule: long non-coding RNA, 581 nt
Filed under: Macaca mulatta (Rhesus monkey)
Lineage: Eukaryota; Metazoa; Chordata; Mammalia; Primates; Cercopithecidae
Description: lncRNA (ENSMMUG00000045798.2)
Source: RNAcentral